Molecule: transfer RNA, 73 nt
Filed under: Acaudina molpadioides
Lineage: Eukaryota; Metazoa; Echinodermata; Holothuroidea; Molpadida; Caudinidae
Description: tRNA-Leu
Rfam family: tRNA
About the family: Transfer RNA (tRNA) molecules are approximately 80 nucleotides in length. Their secondary structure includes four short double-helical elements and three loops (D, anti-codon, and T loops).
Source: RNAcentral
GUUUAAAUAGCAAAGACAGUUAAUGCCAUAGAUUUAGGUUCUAUGAUCAGAGGUGCAAAUCCCCUUUUAAACU